GGUUAGUUCAGUUGGCUAGGGCAUCGUGCUGAUAACGCUCAGGCUGCAGGUUUGAUCCCUGUAUGGAACA
This is a non-coding RNA of Podarcis lilfordi (Lilford's wall lizard), 70 nucleotides long. Lineage: Eukaryota; Metazoa; Chordata; Lepidosauria; Squamata; Lacertidae. The record is from the annotation of a GenBank genome assembly.